Molecule: ribosomal RNA, 389 nt
Filed under: uncultured bacterium
Lineage: Bacteria
Description: bacterial SSU rRNA
Rfam family: Bacterial small subunit ribosomal RNA
Source: RNAcentral
GACGAACGCUGGCGGCGUGCCUAACACAUGCAAGUCGAACGGGGUUAAGAGCUUCGGCUUUUAACUUAGUGGCGAACGGGUGAGUAACGCGUGAGAAACCUGCCUUUCAGUGGGGGACAACAGUUGGAAACGACUGCUAAUACCGCAUAAUGUAUAACCGAGGCAUCUCGGAUAUACCAAAGGAGCAAUCCGCUGUAAGAUGGACUCGCGUCCAAUUAGGUAGUUGGUGGGGUAACGGCCCACCAAGUCGACGAUCAGUAGCCGGACUGAGAGGUUGGCCGGCCACAUUGGGACUGAGAUACGGCCCAGACUCCUACGGGAGGCAGCAGUGGGAAUAUUGGGCAAUGGGACGCAAGCCUGACCCAGCAAUGCCGCGUGAAGGAGAAGGC